CCUACGGGAGGCAGCAGUAGGGAAUCUUCCACAAUGGGCGAAAGCCUGAUGGAGCAACGCCUCGUGGGUGAAGAAGGUCUUCGGAUCGUAAAACCCUGUUGUUAGAUAAGAAAGUGCGUGAGAGUAACUGUUCACGUUUCGACGGUAUCUAACCAGAAAGCCACGGCUAACUACGUGCUCGCAGCCGCGGUAAUACGUAGGUUGCAAGCGUUAUCCGUAUUUAUUUGGAGUAAAGGGAACGCAAGCGGUCUUUUAAGUCUUAUGUGAAAGCCUUCGGCUUAACCGGCGUAGUGCAUUGGAAACUGGGAGACUUGAGUGCAGAAGAGGAGAGUGGAACUCCAUGUGUAGCGGUGAAAUGCGUAGAUAUAUGGAAGAACACCAGUGGCGAAAGCGGCUCUCUGGUCUGUAACUGACGCUGAGGUUCGAAAGCGUGGGUAGCAAACAGGAUUAGAUACCCUUGUAGUC
Molecule: ribosomal RNA, 465 nt
Filed under: uncultured bacterium
Lineage: Bacteria
Description: partial 16S ribosomal RNA
Rfam family: Bacterial small subunit ribosomal RNA
Source: RNAcentral